This 436-nucleotide long non-coding RNA is filed under the name Phoenix dactylifera (date palm). RNAcentral's name for it is "long non-coding RNA (PDAC_LNC006114)". Lineage: Eukaryota; Viridiplantae; Streptophyta; Magnoliopsida; Arecales; Arecaceae. The record is from RNAcentral.
AAAAUAAGCUGCUCGGUUAGAAAGUGCCGACCAAAGACAGCGCCAAGGCGCUCUGCUAGAAGAUGCUCGUCUAAAGGGCGCCGACCAGGAGUACUCAAAGCAGCCCCGCCACAGGGCGCCCCAUUGGGCGACCAGCUCGGCUCGGCACCCUUGCCGAGCCGAUGCCUUUACCAAAUGUUCAACCCCCGCCUAAAGUCCAAGGGACUUGACAACUCCUACGGCUUGCGACCUGCCACUAUCUCCAAGCCAUCAAGGCGUAAGAUCUCCGCAGGCGUUCGGCACGACCUGCCAUUAAUGCGUGAGACUCCCUUAAGUCUCCGAUGCACUCAGGCAUUUAAUGAACACGGCCCAAGACGAUCUCCGGAUCACUGAACCAUCAGAGCGUAUGGCUCUACCUGGCCGCCGGUUCAUUCGGUAAUAAAUGCACUUACCAUCC